UACAGAGGUCUCAAGCGUUGUUCGGAUUCAUUGGGCGUAAAGGGUGCGUAGGCGGCGCGGUAAGUCGGGUGUGAAAUCUCGGAGCUUAACUCCGAAACUGCAUUCGAUACUGCCGUGCUUGAGGACUGGAGAGGAGACUGGAAUUUACGGUGUAGCGGUGAAAUGCGUAGAUAUCGUAAGGAAGACCAGUGGCGAAGGCGGGUUGCUGGGCUGACACUGACGCUGAUUGUGCGAAAGCUAGGGGAGCGAACGGG
Molecule: ribosomal RNA, 254 nt
Filed under: uncultured bacterium
Lineage: Bacteria
Description: partial 16S ribosomal RNA
Rfam family: Bacterial small subunit ribosomal RNA
Source: RNAcentral